Molecule: ribosomal RNA, 486 nt
Filed under: uncultured bacterium
Lineage: Bacteria
Description: partial 16S ribosomal RNA
Rfam family: Bacterial small subunit ribosomal RNA
Source: RNAcentral
UUGAACGCUGGCGGCAUGCCUUACCCCUGCAAGUCGAACGGCAGCACGGGUGCUUGCACCUGGUGGUGAGUGGCGAACGGGUGAGUAAUACAUCGGAACAUGUCCUGUAGUGGGGGAUAGCCCGGCGAAAGCCGGAUUAAUACCGCAUACGAUCUACGGAUGAACGCGGGGGACCUUCGGGCCUCGCGCUAUAGGGUUGGCCGAUGGCUGAUUAGCUAGUUGGUGGGGUAAAGGCCUACCAAGGGGGCGAUCAGUAGCGGGUCGGAGAGGAGGACCAGCCACACUGGGACUGAGACACGGCCCAGACUCCUACGGGAGGCAGCAGUGGGGAAUUUUGGACAAGGGGCGAAAGCCUGAUCCAGCAAUGCCGCGUGUGUGAAGAAGGCCUUCGGGUUGGAAAGCACUUUUGUCCGGAAAGAAAUCCUUGGCCCUAAUACGGUCGGGGGGAUGACGGUACCGGAAGAAUAAGCACCGGCUAACUACGUG